GGCUUCUAUGGCUUUUGUUGUCUAUGCUUGUUGCAACCUACAAUCGGCCAUGUUGCAACAAGGGAUUCUUUUCGCGGAUGAGCACGAGGGAGGAUCGAGUUUCGUGUUAGAAUUAUAUAUGAUGCACUUUGACAUAAAUUCUGCAGUGCAAACAGGACACAUAGAAAUCAUAAAAGGAUCUACGUAAAUAAAAAUAAGCAGAGCUUUAGUGAUUAUUCAAUCAUAUGUAUAUAUAUACCGCAAGUAUACAUAAAUCUUCAAGGCACUCCUGAUGUAUAUUACAUUCAUAUUUUACAAGUGUUGUGUUGUCCAGCAUUUGAUGAACGGGGCAUUUUGACGAGACGCAAAAUAGAAAUUAUUUUACUAAUUAUAAAAAGCGAUAUAAUAUCGCUCUGUGUACGCGUAUUUAUACAACAAACGGAAAAGCGAUGCAGACAUGAAAAUUGGAGAGAUGCGUUUUUUUUCUUUUUUUUUUCUUUCUUUUUCUUAUACCGCUUUCAAAUUUCAUUAUCAUGUAACUACUCUUAUAAUUUUCUAUGUACGAUGUCAAGAUUCAUGGAAUAUUCAAUUUUAAAAUAAGCUUAGAAGCGAAUCUUUUCCAGCGUUGCAUUGCAUGCUUCCCAAUUUUUUAUGAAACCAACAUAUAAAUGGUUUCAUUACUUUAAAACACAGAUCUUGUCUUAAAAACCCGUUUCAAUAGUAGAAGAAAACGUGUCUUGCUUUCGCACUUUCCAUGGUACAAUUUCCACAAAUAUUCCUAUUGAAAAGAGACGCUUUUAAAUUUUAUUAUGCUCAUUAAAUAGCUGAUUUUUAGCAUAAAAUAAAUUGUGAAAAAUGUAUCUCGAUGAAGCAAGGCACGUCUUUAUCUGAUACAAACGGGCAGUAAACAGUGAGUACUAAACAAACAUGAAUACGCCAGUUAAAAGUUAUUACUGUGAUCCAAAUAUUCGAGACUAUGAAAUCGAAAUUUCGUCCAAUAUGUAGAUUCCGAAUAAGCUUAUACAGAAUAAGCUAUUAUAUUUAUCCAAAAAAUAGAGAUUGAUAUACCAAAUAUUGCCUACAUGUUUGCUGCCUCCGUGUCUCAUAUAACUUUGGCUUCCCGCUUUAGUAAUAGCAAGUUUCACAAGCCUUCAUAUUCGUUACUUAAAUACAGUAUGUUACAGAGAAACGCUUAUCUAUAAGAAUGCAUGUACAUCACCAUCACUUACCCCUAGUAACAUUUAGGAUAAUGUACACAAACAAGACAUGUACAGAUUCUUCGCCUGGAUAAUAGUUUUGAUACACUGUUGCAUAAACUUCAUAUACCAAUCUCAGUCGGUUUUCUGCUGAUAUAGUUCUUUUAAUGAUUUCAGUUCGUCGAUUAACGUCUGAUUCCUGUUCUCCAAUACCGCAACACGAUUCUCUAAGCACUUUAUAUAUUCCUUCUUCUUUCUUCUACAUUCACGUGCCGCCUCCCUAAACACAAAAUAUAUAGAGACAGCCUGUGGAAUGUAAAUACAGCCAGGAAAGAUAUGUAAAAGGAAGAUAAAGUAACCAACCUGUUUGGUAAUGGAGCGAAUGGGAAGACACUUCACUGUCCACGUUAGAAUCACACUCGGAAGAUGAUUCUAAGGGGGCAAACGACCGUCUGUAACACCGAAUCAAUCCAAACCCCCAUUAGCUCGUAACCGGUACUGCUAAUAUAUGUACGUCAUUUUAUGUAGAAUGUACCGCUUUUUUUCUUUUUUUCCAGAGCACCAAAUCAGAUACUUUAACAGAUUUUUGGAUUGCAUGGGAUAGAUAUUUUAGAUUUGCAAGAGAGCAUUUAUGCAUUUAGAGAGUAAAGUUUUUUUAUCACAGCGAUAAAUGAAAAGAACAAAAUAAGAAUUUGUUAUAAUAAUCGUGAUUUAUUGAACUAUUUCUUUUCUGGCUGUUGAUUAUAGCUGUAUAUUUAUCAUUGCGCUGUGUGCAGUCAGCUCAUACAAAAAAAAAUUAAAAUACUUUGAUUAUUGGGAAUAAUUUAUG
Long non-coding RNA from Nylanderia fulva, 2004 nucleotides. RefSeq lists it as uncharacterized. NCBI's taxonomy places the organism in Eukaryota, Metazoa, Arthropoda, Insecta, Hymenoptera, Formicidae. The record is from RefSeq and is a predicted model, not a curated record.